Molecule: transfer-messenger RNA, 391 nt
Filed under: bacterium
Lineage: Bacteria
Rfam family: transfer-messenger RNA
About the family: Bacterial tmRNA, also known as 10Sa RNA or SsrA, is named for its dual tRNA and mRNA-like properties. Its role is to liberate the mRNA from a stalled ribosome. To accomplish this part of the tmRNA is used as a reading frame that ends in a translation stop signal.
Source: RNAcentral
GGGGGUGACUGGUUUCGACAAAGAAUUUCCUCCGCUGUGCGCAUGGCGGUGAAUGCUCAAGACCACCUAAAAUCUCGAGCACCAAACGUGUGAAAAACGUUUUUGAGCGCUCGGUAAGCGCAAUCGCUUCGGCGUUUGCACCCCGUUUCGCUCCUGCUUUCGCGUAAGCCAAAGCAGCGCCAAACUUUCGACGCCUGAUAGAAAGUCCUUGGUGUCAUAACAUCCGGCUCUGAAUGGACAACUGCUCACUGUCCAUUUGAAUUCACGAGCUCGGCGCGUGUCAUUUUGUCCGCUUCAUACUCACGCGCUCAAACCUUGAAACGGAUUACGCCUUGUAGAAACGCUUCGGAGACCCUCUUUGGACGGGGUUUCAAAACCCCCACCUCCACCA